This 469-nucleotide ribosomal RNA is filed under the name uncultured Glomus. Its description in RNAcentral is "SSU rRNA". It matches the Rfam family "Eukaryotic small subunit ribosomal RNA", at positions 569 to 1043 of the family's 1831-position model. The record is from RNAcentral. Lineage: Eukaryota; Fungi; Glomeromycota; Glomeromycetes; Glomerales; Glomeraceae.
AGCAGCCGCGGUAAUUCCAGCUCCAAUAGCGUAUAUUAAAGUUGCUGCAGUUAAAAAGCUCGUAGUUGAAUUUCGGGAUCAAUAUGUUGGUCGUGCCUUGGUACGUACUAGCUUAUUGAUUUUCUCCCUUCUGACGAACCAUGAUGUCAUUAAUUUGGUGUCUUGGGGAAUCAGGACUGUUACUUUGAAAAAAUUAGAGUGUUUAAAGCAGGCUCACGCUUGAAUACAUUAGCAUGGAAUAAUGAAAUAGGACGUUUGAUUCUAUUUUGUUGGUUUCUAGGAUCGAUGUAAUGAUUAAUAGGGAUAGUUGGGGGCAUUAGUAUUCAAUUGUCAGAGGUGAAAUUCUUGGAUUUAUUGAAGACUAACUACUGCGAAAGCAUUUGCCAAGGAUGUUUUCAUUAAUCAAGAACGAAAGUUAGGGGAUCGAAGACGAUCAGAUACCGUCGUAGUCUUAACCAUAAACUAUGCC